UCAUUAUAGAUUCUCUAUUUCAGGUUAUUGCCUUCUAUGCAAUGAUUGUACCAAUAUGAAUAUUCUUGUGUUCUUUUCCUUCUCUUCACCCUUAUUAGGCUAAACCUACAUAUAUACAACUUAAUAGGCAUAUUAGUUGAAAGAGCUAGCACCUUGUAAUUGUUUGCAUCAACAUUAAACCAUAAAAUCAUCUAUAAAAAUGAUUCACUUAUUAUUGGAAGUGAUAUUGUUUUUCUUAUAGAGCGGUUAUAAAAGUAAAAUUGUUGGUUUAAUAAUUAUUUUAUUAUCUACAAAGAGCAUUAUUCUCAGUUAAGUAAAAAGAAACUCACAGUUGAGUAGAUUUAGUGUUGAUGAUAUAUUGGGUUCAUCCUCAGACAAAAAACAAAAGAAAUAUUCAUAUUUUUCAGAUUUUUUGUCAUAGGGCUAAACAAAGAGAAAUGGACCUUAGGGCAUCUUGAUGAAAGUGGAGCUUGAAGAUGAAGUUGGAAGCUAAAGUGAAGAAAUUAUGUUUUAUGGGAACAUCUCCGCGUUGCGCAUGUGCUCCAGAAAUGAAGGCCUGUAUUUUUGAUUAAACAGCUCGCAAGACAGAAGAGUCCGCACCAGGUCCGCGACGUGGACCUAGCUGAUUCUAGCAGACCCAUUUGAUUCUAGGAGCAAUUUCGCCGAGGAAAAACAAAAUAAAAAACUGUGCUGUGAUGAAACAAAUCCGCAUCGCGGACUUCAGUACAACUAAUGAAUCUUCAUAUUUUUCGAGGCUAUAAAUAGUACACUUGUAUUUUUUAUUAUGCAUUCAAUUUUUAUUCGAAGUUUUGAAGAACGGGAAUGAAGAAAUAACUUCUCUAGGAUUACUUUUAUCCUUCUAUUUCAUUUUAGACUACUCUUUAACGAAAUUAAUUACUUUUAUGAUUUUAAUUAGGACUAUGAGUGGCUAAGUUCCCCUAUUCUAGGGUUUAGCCACAAGAUGAUGGUUUAAUAUUAA
Long non-coding RNA from Solanum dulcamara, 979 nucleotides. RefSeq lists it as uncharacterized. The record is from RefSeq and is a predicted model, not a curated record. NCBI's taxonomy places the organism in Eukaryota, Viridiplantae, Streptophyta, Magnoliopsida, Solanales, Solanaceae. The transcript has 2 exons.